RNAcentral lists this ribosomal RNA (460 nucleotides) under uncultured bacterium. RNAcentral describes it as "partial 16S ribosomal RNA". It matches the Rfam family "Bacterial small subunit ribosomal RNA", at positions 338 to 795 of the family's 1533-position model. The record is from RNAcentral.
CCUACGGGUGGCAGCAGUGAGGAAUAUUGGUCAAUGGGCGCGAGCCUGAACCAGCCAAGUAGCGUGAAGGAUGACUGCCCUACGGGUUGUAAACUUCUUUUAUAAAAGAAUAAAGUGAGGCACGUGUGCCUUUCUGUAUGUACUUUAUGAAUAAGGAUCGGCUAACUCCGUGCCAGCAGCCGCGGUAAUACGGAGGAUCCGAGCGUUAUCCGGAUUUAUUGGGUUUAAAGGGAGCGUAGACGGGUUGUUAAGUCAGUUGUGAAAGUUUGCGGCUCAACCGUAGAAUUGCAAUUGAUACUGGCAGUCUUGAGUACAGUUGAGGUAGGCGGAAUGCGUGGUGUAGCGGUGAAAUGCUUAGAGAUCACGCAGAACUCCGAUUGCGAAGGCAGCUUACUAAACUGCCACUGACAUUGAGGCUCGAAAGUGUGGGGAUCAAACAGGAUUAGAUACCCGGGUAGUC